CUGCAAUUACCGCAAGGCCUUUGCCGACUGCGAUGGCUUCAAAAUCCCCAUCCUUGGAGUACACUUGAAAGACUUGAUAGCAGUCCAUGUCAUUUUCCCAGACUGGACAGAGGAGAAUAAAGUGAACAUUGUGAAAAUGCACCAGCUCUCCGUUACCCUGAGUGAACUAGUCUCCCUGCAGAAUGCCUCUCACCACUUAGAACCCAACAUGGAUUUGAUCAACCUGCUCACGCUUUCCCUGGACCUCUAUCACACUGAAGAUGAUAUUUACAAACUGUCACUGGUGCUGGAGCCUAGAAAUCCUAAAUCGCAGCCUACCUCCCCUACGACGCCCAACAAGCCUGUGGUGCCCCUGGAGUGGGCAUUAGGGGUGAUGCCAAAGCCAGACCCCACGGUCAUCAACAAGCACAUAAGGAAAUUAGUGGAGGUAAGUGGUUGAGGGAGAAUAAAGAGAGGGCACUAGAAGACCCUUUCUCUUUCCAGAAUAUUCCGCGAUUGUCCAGGAAUCUGAUGGAACCCAUGCAAACAACCCUCUGGCAGCUAGGAACAAUUUAGCAGGCACUUAG
Molecule: small RNA, 566 nt
Filed under: Pongo abelii (Sumatran orangutan)
Lineage: Eukaryota; Metazoa; Chordata; Mammalia; Primates; Hominidae
Description: retained intron
Source: RNAcentral